RNAcentral lists this ribosomal RNA (292 nucleotides) under uncultured bacterium. Its description in RNAcentral is "partial 16S ribosomal RNA". The record is from RNAcentral.
GGACUACCGGGGUAUCUAAUCCUGUUUGCUCCCCACGCCUUCGCGCCUCAGCGUCAGUCUCGGUCCAGAGCGCCGCCUUCGCCACCGGUGUUCUUCCCAAUAUCUACGAAUUUCACCUCUACACUGGGAAUUCCACGCUCCUCUCCCGAACUCCAGCACCACAGUCUCGAGCGCAAUUCCCAGGUUGAGCCCGGGGCUUUCACACUCGACUUGCGGCGCCGCCUACGCGCCCUUUACGCCCAGUAAAUCCGAACAACGCUCGCCCCCUUCGUAUUACCGCGGCUGCUGGCAC